Molecule: non-coding RNA, 28 nt
Filed under: Homo sapiens (human)
Lineage: Eukaryota; Metazoa; Chordata; Mammalia; Primates; Hominidae
Source: RNAcentral
UGGCCAAGCUUAAAGAGAAGAUUUUCUC